UAGCUAGUUGGUGGGGUAAGGGCCUGCCAAGGCGACGAUCGGUAGCUGGUCUGAGAGGAUGACCAGCCACACUGGAACUGAGACACGGUCCAGACUCCUACGGGAGGCAGCAGUGGGGAAUAUUGGACAAUGGGGGCAACCCUGAUCCAGCAAUGCCGCGUGUGUGAAGAAGGCCUGAGGGUUGUAAAGCACUUUCAGUGGGGAGGAGGGUUGAUAGGUUAAGAGCUAAUUAACUGGACGUUACCCACAGAAGAAGCACCGGCUAACUCCGUGCCAGCAGCCGCGGUAAUACGGAGGGUGCGAGCGUUAAUCGGAAUUACUGGGCGUAAAGGGUGCGUAGGUGGUUGAUUAAGUUAUCUGUGAAAUUCCUGGGCUUAACCNGGGACGGUCAGAUAAUACUGGUUGACUCGAGUAUGGGGGAGGGUAGUGGAAUUUCCGGUGUAGCGGUGAAAUGAGUAGAGAUCGGAAGGAACACCAGUGGCGAAGGCGGCUACCUGGCCUAAUACUGACGCUGAGGCACGAAAGCGUGGGGAGCAAACAGGAUUAGAUACCCUGGUAGUCCACGCUGUAAACGAUGUCAACUAGCUGUUGGUUAUAUGAAAAUAAUUAGUGGCGC
RNAcentral lists this ribosomal RNA (616 nucleotides) under uncultured Legionella sp. Its description in RNAcentral is "bacterial SSU rRNA". It matches the Rfam family "Bacterial small subunit ribosomal RNA", at positions 242 to 849 of the family's 1533-position model. The record is from RNAcentral. Lineage: Bacteria; Pseudomonadati; Pseudomonadota; Gammaproteobacteria; Legionellales; Legionellaceae.